GUGUAGCUUUAGUGGUAGAAUGCUUGCCUAUAGUGCACAAGGCCCUUGAUUCAAUCCCCAGUGCUGCACG
This 70-nucleotide transfer RNA is filed under the name Marmota monax (woodchuck). Its description in RNAcentral is "tRNA.Tyr". Lineage: Eukaryota; Metazoa; Chordata; Mammalia; Rodentia; Sciuridae. The record is from RNAcentral.